AAUCAACGCUGGCGGCGUGCCUCAGACAUGCAAGUCGAACGAUUAAAGCUCUCUUCGGAGAGUGCAUAAAGUGGCGCACGGGUGAGUAACACGUAAGUAAUCUACCUUCGAGUGGGGAAUAACGUCCGGAAACGGACGCUAAUACCGCAUAACGCAGCGGCAUCGCAAGAUGACAGUUGUUAAAGAUUUAUCGCUUGAAGAGGAGCUUGCGGCAGAUUAGCUUGUUGGUAAGGUAACGGCUUACCAAGGCUACGAUCUGUAUCCGGUCUAAGAGGACGGUCGGACACACUGACACUGAAUAACGGGUCAGACUCCUACGGGAGGCAGCAGUCGGGAAUUUUGGGCAAUGGGGGAAACCCUGACCCAGCAACGCCGCGUGAGUGAAGAAGGCCU
Molecule: ribosomal RNA, 393 nt
Filed under: uncultured bacterium
Lineage: Bacteria
Description: bacterial SSU rRNA
Rfam family: Bacterial small subunit ribosomal RNA
Source: RNAcentral